UGGCGGAAUCCAGUCCAAAACACGUUGAG
Molecule: small RNA, 29 nt
Filed under: Bombyx mori (domestic silkworm)
Lineage: Eukaryota; Metazoa; Arthropoda; Insecta; Lepidoptera; Bombycidae
Description: ovarian small RNA-34898
Source: RNAcentral